This 422-nucleotide ribosomal RNA is filed under the name uncultured archaeon. Its description in RNAcentral is "partial 16S ribosomal RNA". It matches the Rfam family "Archaeal small subunit ribosomal RNA", at positions 323 to 746 of the family's 1478-position model. The record is from RNAcentral.
CUACGGGAGGCUGCAGACGAGAAAACUUUGCAAUGUGCGAAAGCACGACAAGGUUAAUCCGAGUGGUUUGUGCUAAACGAACCUUUUGACAGUCCUAGAAACACUGUUGAAUAAGGGGUGGGCAAGUUCUGGUGUCAGCCGCCGCGGUAAAACCAGCACCUCAAGUGGUCAGGAUGAUUAUUGGGCCUAAAGCAUCCGUAGCCGGCUCUGUAAGUUUUCGGUUAAAUCUGUACACUCAACGUACAGGCUGCCGGGAAUACUGCAGAGCUAGGGAGUGGGAGAGGUAGACGGUACUCGGUAGGAAGGGGUAAAAUCCUUUGAUCUAUUGAUGACCACCUGUGGCGAAGGCGGUCUACCAGAACACGUCCGACGGUGAGGGAUGAAAGCUGGGGGAGCAAACCGGAUUAGAUACCCCUGUAGUC